GGUCUUUCCACUGUCCAGAAAAGCAAUCCCGAAGCUUUGCUUUUGGUCCACGAAAACACCAUGGGUCGCAUUAAAAAGGAUGAUUGGUCUGGUAGUUAUACGACUUUUUCUGGAACGGAAGAGAUUUUUAUUGGUGGGGAGAGAUUGAGAAUCAUUUUUGCUCCAGGGCAUACAGAUGGACAUUUAGCAUUGCUUCAUGUUAGCACUAAUUCCUUGAUUGUUGGUGAUCAUUGUGUGGGGUAAG
This is a long non-coding RNA of Helianthus annuus (common sunflower), 244 nucleotides long. RefSeq lists it as uncharacterized. The transcript is spliced from 3 exons. The record is from RefSeq and is a predicted model, not a curated record. NCBI's taxonomy places the organism in Eukaryota, Viridiplantae, Streptophyta, Magnoliopsida, Asterales, Asteraceae.